GGGCUAUACUGCAGUCGAGCGGACAGAUGGGAGCUUGCUCCCUGAUGUUAGCGGCGGACGGGUGAGUAACACGUGGGUAACCUGCCUGUAAGACUGGGAUAACUCCGGGAAACCGGGGCUAAUACCGGAUGGUUGUUUGAACCGCAUGGUUCAGACAUAAAAGGUGGCUUCGGCUACCACUUACAGAUGGACCCGCGGCGCAUUAGCUAGUUGGUGAGGUAACGGCUCACCAAGGCGACGAUGCGUAGCCGACCUGAGAGGGUGAUCGGCCACACUGGGACUGAGACACGGCCCAGACUCCUACGGGAGGCAGCAGUAGGGAAUCUUCCGCAAUGGACGAAAGUCUGACGGAGCAACGCCGCGUGAGUGAUGAAGGUUUUCGGAUCGUAAAGCUCUGUUGUUAGGGAAGAACAAGUGCCGUUCAAAUAGGGCGGCACCUUGACGGUACCUAACCAGAAAGCCACGGCUAACUACGUGCCAGCAGCCGCGGUAAUACGUAGGUGGCAAGCGUUGUCCGGAAUUAUUGGGCGUAAAGGGCUCGCAGGCGGUUUCUUAAGUCUGAUGUGAAAGCCCCCGGCUCAACCGGGGAGGGUCAUUGGAAACUGGGGAACUUGAGUGCAGAAGAGGAGAGUGGAAUUCCACGUGUAGCGGUGAAAUGCGUAGAGAUGUGGAGGAACACCAGUGGCGAAGGCGACUCUCUGGUCUGUAACUGACGCUGAGGAGCGAAAGCGUGGGGAGCGAACAGGAUUAGAUACCCUGGUAGUCCACGCCGUAAACGAUGAGUGCUAAGUGUUAGGGGGUUUCCGCCCCUUAGUGCUGCAGCUAACGCAUUAAGCACUCCGCCUGGGGAGUACGGCCGCAGACUGGAACUCCAAGGAAUU
RNAcentral lists this ribosomal RNA (881 nucleotides) under Bacillus siamensis. RNAcentral's name for it is "bacterial SSU rRNA". It matches the Rfam family "Bacterial small subunit ribosomal RNA", at positions 44 to 911 of the family's 1533-position model. The record is from RNAcentral. Lineage: Bacteria; Bacillati; Bacillota; Bacilli; Caryophanales; Bacillaceae.